RNAcentral lists this ribosomal RNA (301 nucleotides) under uncultured bacterium. RNAcentral describes it as "partial 16S ribosomal RNA". It matches the Rfam family "Bacterial small subunit ribosomal RNA", at positions 509 to 809 of the family's 1533-position model. The record is from RNAcentral.
CAGUCGCCGCGGUAAUACGAGGGGGGCAAGCGUUGUUCGGAAUUAUUGGGCGUAAAGGGAGUGUAGGCGGUUUUGUAAGUCGUGUGUGAAAUCUUCGGGCUCAACCCGAAGUCUGCACACGAAACUGCAGGGCUUGAGUAUGGGAGAGGUGAGUGGAAUUCCUGGUGUAGCGGUGAAAUGCGUAGAUAUCGGAAGGAACACCUGAGGCGAAAGCGGCUCACUGGACCAUAACUGACGCUGAGGCGCGAAAGCUAGGGGAGCAAACAGGAUUAGAUACCCCGGUAGUCCCUGUCUCUUAUAA